UGCAAUUUAUCCCCCUUGUAUCCCUUUCUUCACAGGCUCUGUUUCACCUGGYGGGAUUCAGUGUUCAUGGACUAGAAAGCAACAGAUGGGGAAUGCCGAGAACUUCAGCUGCAACAAAGGUUCUAGCUCGCCUGGAGCUGGCGGAAACCAUCCAACGUCUGCAUUUUUCUCACUGGCUCUAAGGUGGUGGAAACGUAACACAGAGCAAGCAGAGGCCAGCUCUGCACCGCAGCCUCCCAGAGCACGCCAGGACGGAGGGCUCAACRCUGGCCACCACUGCCACCACCAUGCAAGAAGCACCAGCAAUCAGCCCAGUCCCUCCACCUGCCACCAAAGGCAGAGCCUUUUCUCUUGCAAUGUUAAUUACUUAAUGUGAGCCAGAUGGUGUUAAACGGCACCAAACCAACCCCCCUGUCAGGUGGAUUUCUCCAGUUGAGCACUGCAAGGACAGAUUUGCAUCGCRAGGAAGGCAGAAGCUCUGUGUAAGCCCAUCUCAACUCAAAGCCUUGAUAUUGCAGGCACUCUCUGGUGUCAGUGGUGCUCUGAAAGAUUUGGGAGCAAAAGCUGAACAGAGACAAGGACGAAGGGGGUUAUCAAAUGCAGGUAACACAGCCCCAAGAUCUCACUUUG
RNAcentral lists this long non-coding RNA (630 nucleotides) under Dromaius novaehollandiae (emu). RNAcentral describes it as "lncRNA (ENSDNVG00000016837.1)". Lineage: Eukaryota; Metazoa; Chordata; Aves; Casuariiformes; Dromaiidae. The record is from RNAcentral.